Molecule: ribosomal RNA, 251 nt
Filed under: uncultured prokaryote
Description: partial 16S ribosomal RNA
Rfam family: Bacterial small subunit ribosomal RNA
Source: RNAcentral
UACGGAGGAUGCAAGCGUUAUCCGGAUUUAUUGGGUUUAAAGGGUGCGCAGGUUGUUUGAUAAGUCAGUAGUGAAAGUCUGUCGCUUAACGGUAGGAUUGCCAUUGAUACUGUUAGACUUGAAUAUGGAUGAGGUAGGCGGAAUGUGUAGUGUAGCGGUGAAAUGCAUAGAUAUUACACAGAACACCGAUUGCGAAGGCAGCUUACUAAUCCAUCAUUGACGCUGAGGCACGAAAGCGUGGGGAUCAAACA